UUGCACAAGGGAUAGUAGUGGAAAUCCUUUGUUGUCUCGUUAACAAACGAGACAAUAAAGAUUGAAACGGAUAGCCCGACCACGA
This 85-nucleotide small RNA is filed under the name Flavobacterium glaciei. RNAcentral describes it as "Flavo-1 RNA". It matches the Rfam family "Flavo-1 RNA". The record is from RNAcentral. Lineage: Bacteria; Pseudomonadati; Bacteroidota; Flavobacteriia; Flavobacteriales; Flavobacteriaceae.